UAAUGUCUGGGAAACUGCCUGAUGGAGGGGGAUAACUACUGGAAACGGUAGCUAAUACCGCAUAAUGUCGCAAGACCAAAGUGGGGGACCUUCGGGCCUCAUGCCAUCAGAUGUGCCCAGAUGGGAUUAGCUAGUAGGUGGGGUAACGGCUCACCUAGGCGACGAUCCCUAGCUGGUCUGAGAGGAUGACCAGCCACACUGGAACUGAGACACGGUCCAG
RNAcentral lists this ribosomal RNA (220 nucleotides) under uncultured bacterium. RNAcentral describes it as "partial 16S ribosomal RNA". It matches the Rfam family "Bacterial small subunit ribosomal RNA", at positions 111 to 334 of the family's 1533-position model. The record is from RNAcentral.